GGGCGUGAAGUACCAGUAGUUGCGGUCACAGCGCUGCACGUCCUUCUCGAUGCGGUGCAGGUUGACGGUGUACAGGUCCAGGAGCUCCGGCUGCAGGCCCCCAGGAGGGGACGGAGAGAACAAUUACACGCCAGCUCCUCACAGAGAGGUCGCGUUCCAGACAGUCUCCCUCCUCCUACCCCCCUCCUGCUGCCACUGAAAAGAACAUCCUCUCCCCGGACCAGGUGGGUGUUUGAUUUCAUUUUUGUGGUUUUCCGAGAAAGCCUCUUUUCACUUUGUACGAUGACAGUCCCUUUUUCUUUCCUUCCCUUUUAUGAAACAAAACAAUUCUCUAAGCUGCAAAGACGAAUUCUCCUCACUGUGCACGACGGUUGGAACUAGCUGGAGAUGUACCCACCGCCCCCGCGGGACACUGGACAGGAAGACGGAGAAAGCGGACAGGAGUCCAGUUCUGGCAUAUGCCGGGCUUGAUGCCUUGACCCCCAUCUGAGGAAAAGGCUCAGUGAUAUGGCAAGAAAAAUGAGGAACGAUUAAAGGCCAAAAAUUCACCACAAAGGCAAGAAAUACCAAAUCUGGCUUUUGCCUUGAGGAAAGCUUCCAGACUGGGAAACCUGAAGCUUGGAUUUAAUGGUUUUGGGGAUCCUUCUCCCUGAAGAAAUAACACGCUCUUCAAAGGAAAAUGGAUAUACACAGUGCCUGGCUCAGAAAACCUCCCAUUCAGUUGACAUCCUUUGGCUUGGACUUUUUGGCAACAAAGUAAACUGGAGUACUUAAAAGAUGUUGGACCUGAGUGUACCCCAAGAUGUUGUUCUCAUCGAGGCUGCUAUUGAUGGAAAGCUCACCGCACAUCAGGCACAGAGGACUGGACUCCCUACUUCUGAGAACAGCUCAGGCAGGAAGGUACUCGACUGAUAGAAAACUGAGACUCAGAAAGAAAAAGUGAGGUGCCUCUGCUGGGACUGAACCCGGGACGAUUUGACUGCAAAGCCUGUGUUCUUUAAAUACUAUACUAUCUGCCCAGAAGGGCUUCUCCAGUGCAGACUCUGUGAUGGGGAACAUGUAACAGAUCAGAGGUCAUUCUGGGAAACUGAGGCUCGUGGGACACACCCACUGUCCCACGGCUGUUAGGUACGAAAAUUAAGUGCAGGAGAAUCCUGGUGACUUACAGAGUAAGUGACGCCACUGGAAGACACGGGGGACGCCUCGUUGUUGGCAGAAGUGGCCACGGCCAGAGAGGCCAGGGCGGGGAAGAGACUUUCCAUCUCGGGCUCCUCUGAGAGGUUGUCCUCACUGUCCACACGGCUGUGCUUCCCCACCUCACUGUCUCCCCAGCCCUCCAUCGCGGCCCCCUCCUUUCCGGGCAGGGCCACGUCCAUGCUGCCAGUGAGGGACAUGAACUCGUCCAUGCUCUCGUUGGCGAGGAGGUCGCUCUCCAGGCUGUCCUGCACGGCCAGGUCCUCGCGGGGGGCCUCAUCCCGGGAGGUGGUGGCCUCACUGCUCUGCCCGUCAUCCACGCUGCUGUCCCCAGGUCGAAGCACCAGAGGGGCAUUCCGCUGGGCGUCCAUGACGCUGUCCUCCGUGCUCAGGCUGGGUUCCGAGGGCUCCGAGAGGCCCGAGGAGAAGUUGUGGGAUGACGGAUGGCCGGAGUCCGGGGAACAGGUGCCAUUCACCAGGUUCCCAUUGGGGAUCUUGGGCUGUCUCUCCUCCAACCUGCCUUCUGCCUCCACCUGCUCCACUUCGUCCACAGACUCAAACACCUGAAGAUGAGGUAUGCAUACACGGAGAGAUUAGGAUGCCCACUGCUUCCAGCACCAAUCUAAACAUCCAUCAGCAGGGGGCCGGUUCCAAUAUGGAACAUGCACGUGGAAUACUAUACAGUCGGGGAAAGGAAUGGGACGGACCAGGUGUAAUGUAUGCUCCCGCCGUGGGAAAUACAAGAGUGACCUACUGCAUGGAAAUGCCUAGAAUAACCCAGAAAGAAGAAAGCCCUGAAAUUGAGGAGUAUUAGGGAACCGAAGUAGCAGGAAGUGUACCUUUCAUCACAAAAAAUUUUUUGCAUAUAACUUUUUAAAGUAAGAAAUGAAUUUACAACAUAGGAAACAGGCUAAAAACAG
This is a long non-coding RNA of Felis catus (domestic cat), 2114 nucleotides long. RefSeq lists it as uncharacterized. Lineage: Eukaryota; Metazoa; Chordata; Mammalia; Carnivora; Felidae. The transcript has 2 exons. The record is from RefSeq and is a predicted model, not a curated record.